UACGUAGGGGGCAAGCGUUGUCCGGAAUCAUUGGGCGUAAAGAGCGUGUAGGCGGCCAGAUAAGUCCGCUGUGAAAUCUCGAGGCUCAACUUCGAGCUGUCGGUGGAAACUGUCUGGCUAGAGUCCGGAAGAGGAGAAUGGAAUUCCUGGUGUAGCGGUGAAAUGCGCAGAUAUCAGGAAGAACACCCGUGGCGAAGGCGGUUCUCUGGGACGGUACCGACGCUGAGACGCGAAAGCGUGGGGAGCGAACAGG
This 253-nucleotide ribosomal RNA is filed under the name uncultured bacterium. Its description in RNAcentral is "partial 16S ribosomal RNA". It matches the Rfam family "Bacterial small subunit ribosomal RNA", at positions 524 to 776 of the family's 1533-position model. The record is from RNAcentral.